AGCAGCCGCGGUAAUUCCAGCUCCAAUAGCGUAUAUUAAAGUUGUUGCAGUUAAAAGCUCGUAGUUGAAUUUCGGGGUUAGCAGGUCGGUCGUGCCAUCGGUAUGAACUGGUCUCGCUGAUCCCUCCCUCUUGACGAACUGUGAUGCCAUUAAUUUGGUGUCGCAGGGAAUCAGGACUGUUACUUUGAAAAAAUUAGAGUGUUUAAAGCAGGCUCACGCUUGAAUACAUUAGCAUGGAAUAAUGAAAUAGGACGUUUGAUCCUAUUUUGUUGGUUUCUAGGAUUGACGUAAUGAUUAAUAGGGAUAGUUGGGGGCAUUAGUAUUCAAUUGUCAGAGGUGAAAUUCUUGGAUUUAUUGAAGACUAACUACUGCGAAAGCAUUUGCCAAGGAUGUUUUCAUUAAUCGAGAACGAAAGUUAGGGGAUCGAAGACGAUCAGAUACCGUCGUAGUCUUAACCAUAAACUAUGCCGACUAGGGAUCGGAUGAUGUUAAUUUUUUAAUGACUCAUUCGGCGCCUUAC
This 520-nucleotide unclassified non-coding RNA is filed under the name uncultured Glomus. RNAcentral describes it as "SSU rRNA". It matches the Rfam family "Eukaryotic small subunit ribosomal RNA", at positions 569 to 1091 of the family's 1831-position model. The record is from RNAcentral. Lineage: Eukaryota; Fungi; Glomeromycota; Glomeromycetes; Glomerales; Glomeraceae.